GGGUGGCGAGUGGCGGACGGGUGAGGAAUACAUCGGAAUCUACUCUGUCGUGGGGGAUAACGUAGGGAAACUUACGCUAAUACCGCAUACGACCUACGGGUGAAAGCAGGGGAUCUUCGGACCUUGCGCGAUUGAAUGAGCCGAUGUCGGAUUAGCUAGUUGGCGGGGUAAAGGCCCACCAAGGCGACGAUCCGUAGCUGGUCUGAGAGGAUGAUCAGCCACACUGGAACUGAGACACGGUCCAGACUCCUACGGGAGGCAGCAGUGGGGAAUAUUGGACAAUGGGCGCAAGCCUGAUCCAGCCAUACCGCGUGGGUGAAGAAGGCCUUCGGGUUGUAAAGCCCUUUUGUUGGGAAAGAAAUCCAGCUGGCUAAUACCCGGUUGGGAUGACGGUACCCAAAGAAUAAGCACCGGCUAACUUCGUGCCAGCAGCCGCGGUAAUACGAAGGGUGCAAGCGUUACUCGGAAUUACUGGGCGUAAAGCGUGCGUAGGUGGUCGUUUAAGUCCGUUGUGAAAGCCCUGGGCUCAACCUGGGAACUGCAGUGGAUACUGGGCGACUAGAGUGUGGUAAAGGGUAGCGGAAUUCCUGGUGUAGCAGUGAAAUGCGUAGAGAUCAGGAGGAACAUCCAUGGCGAA
RNAcentral lists this ribosomal RNA (637 nucleotides) under Stenotrophomonas maltophilia. RNAcentral describes it as "bacterial SSU rRNA". It matches the Rfam family "Bacterial small subunit ribosomal RNA", at positions 86 to 719 of the family's 1533-position model. The record is from RNAcentral. Lineage: Bacteria; Pseudomonadati; Pseudomonadota; Gammaproteobacteria; Lysobacterales; Lysobacteraceae.